RNAcentral lists this unclassified non-coding RNA (1765 nucleotides) under Acromyrmex echinatior (Panamanian leafcutter ant). RNAcentral's name for it is "choline/ethanolamine kinase, transcript variant X2". Lineage: Eukaryota; Metazoa; Arthropoda; Insecta; Hymenoptera; Formicidae. The record is from RNAcentral.
UGUGGUGCUUGUAUUAAGCAGGCAUCAAGCGGAGUGGAGCUGAGCCGAGCUAAGUCGUGAGCAGAUGCGUCAUUCCAAGCGGAUCGAGCAAAUCGGAGUUACUUGGGUUACGCCUUUCGGAGUGAUUUUGAACCUUUAGAAAGAAUUUUUGAAGCCGAAUGCGGUCUCGCACUUAAUCGCAUCUUGUCAUAUCUUUUUUUCUUUCCCGCGACACCUUAAUUGCUAAAAUAUAUCUACUUAUAAUAAGUGAAAAUAUUUUCACGAGCAGAAUUUAUUCAUCGCCACGUAUUGAGUUCCACGUCGACGGUGUGGCUGGAAAUAACCUGGUGACACAAUACGAUUCUGUAGGUCUAAUGACCUUUCCUGAAUAGUCUCCGAUCCCUUCAAUUUGUUUUGUUGACGUUAAUAACCGCGAGCUCAUCCUCUCGCGAGGAAAUUAGAUCGGGACGUGAUAAUCACACACGUACUUAUUAUCUUAUCCGGUGACGCGUCUCGUGAUUACAUAGUUAGCUCAUAAUCGCGCCGGGAGUAAAAUAAUUAGCACUAAGUGUGUGCCACAUCGUCAGAGGAUCAUCGUCGACUCUUCUAUUAUUUUCUAUUAUUUUCAUCUUACUCUUUCUCUUUCUGAAGCGGUGAGCUAGUCGCUUUAAUCUAUUCGCAGUGUGUCCGACGAGAUUUCGACAUGGGUAUCGAGGACAUCGAAUACAAGAUGUCAGAGAAGAAUCCCGAGAUGAGGGAAACUGCUGCAAGAAUCUGUCGAGAUUACUUGCACGGUGUAUGGAAACACAUUACAUCGGAAAACAUUGUUCUCAAACGCAUUAGUGGUGGUCUAAGCAAUUGGCUGUAUAACGUCCAGCUUCCUGAAGGAACGGUUCCGAUUAGGGGAGAACCUCGUCAAGUUUUGCUACGUCUUUAUGGGCAGGUGCAUGGAGAAAGGGCCUUAGAAGGACUAAUCACAGAAUCCGUCAUCUUUACCUUGUUAUCCGAAAGGAAACUGGGUCCUAAGCUGCACGGAGUAUUUCCUGGUGGUCGUAUAGAGGAAUACAUCCCAGCUCGACCUUUGAUCACGAAGGAAUUGGCGGAUUCAACCUUGAGUCUACUGAUCGCAGAAAAGAUGGGUCAGACACAUAUGAUGCAGAUACCAAUUAGCAAAGAGCCUGUGUGGUUAUGGGAUACAAUAAAUAAUUGGUUCAACACUACGACAGAUAUUCUUGAAAACAUUCAUAAUGAAGACAUUGAUAGUCGGCAACUGGAGAAUAUUAACACAAUAAAAUGUAUAAAUUUUGAGCACGAAAUCAAUUGGCUCAAAACAAUUAUAACGCAGCAAAAGUAUCCAGUUACAUUCUGCCACAAUGACAUGCAAGAGGGAAAUAUACUUCUACUCCAAAAUACGCGAAAGCCCAAGUUAGUACUCAUUGACUUCGAAUAUUGUUCCUACAACUACCGAGGAUUUGAUAUCGCCAAUCAUUUCGCCGAAUGGCAAUACGACUAUACAACACCGGAAUAUCCUUUCUUUCACGAACGUCCGGCCGCUGGUCCUACGAAGGAGCAAAAGGACCGUCAAGACAAGGCUGAUGCCUGCAAACAGAGAAAAAUUCGGCCGGCAAUGUGAAACUGUGCUGUGAUGGAUCCCGACUUUGUGGGUGCUCUACAUUUUGGGAACCAGGGUGCCACCGGUACCACCAUCUUGGCAGCACCAAUCCGCUCAUCUACGAUUCUAGACUCGAUUUCAUAAGAGCCUACCUAAGAACAUUGAACAAAGAAG